AGAGUUUGAUCAUGGCUCAGGACGAACGCUGGCGGCGUGCUUAACACAUGCAAGUCGAACGGAAAGGCCCUUCGGGGUACUCGAGUGGCGAACGGGUGAGUAACACGUGGGUGAUCUGCCCUGCACUUUGGGAUAAGCCUGGGAAACUGGGUCUAAUACCGAAUAUGACCAUGCACUUCCUGGUGUGUGGUGGAAAGCUUUUGCGGUGUGGGAUGGGCCCGCGGCCUAUCAGCUUGUUGGUGGGGUAAUGGCCUACCAAGGCGACGACGGGUAGCCGGCCUGAGAGGGUGACCGGCCACACUGGGACUGAGAUACGGCCCAGGCUCCUACGGGAGGCAGCAGUGGGGAAUAUUGCACAAUGGGCGCAAGCCUGAUGCAGCGACGCCGCGUGAGGGAUGACGGCCUUCGGGUUGUAAACCUCUUUCAGCACAGACGAAGCGCAAGUGACGGUAUGUGCAGAAGAAGGACCGGCCAACUACGUGCCAGCAACCGCGGUAAUACGUAGGGUCCGUGCGUUGUCCGGAAUUACUGGGCGUAAAGAGCUCGUAGGUGGUUUGUCGCGUUGUUCGUGAAAACUCACAGCUUAACUGUGGGCGUGCGGGCGAUACGGGCAGACUUGAGUACUGCAGGGGAGACUGGAAUUCCUGGUGUAGCGGUGGAAUGCGCAGACAUCAGGAGGAACACCGGUGGCGAAGGCGGGUCUCUGGGCAGUAACUGACGCUGAGGAGCGAAAGCGUGGGGAGCGAACAGGAUUAGAUACCCCGGUAGUCC
This 771-nucleotide ribosomal RNA is filed under the name uncultured bacterium. Its description in RNAcentral is "bacterial SSU rRNA". It matches the Rfam family "Bacterial small subunit ribosomal RNA", at positions 8 to 796 of the family's 1533-position model. The record is from RNAcentral.